AUUGAACGCUGGCGGCAGGCCUAACACAUGCAAGUCGAACGGUAACAGGAAGCAGCUUGCUGCUUUGCUGACGAGUGGCGGACGGGUGAGUAAUGUCUGGGAAACUGCCCGAUGGAGGGGGAUAACUACUGGAAACGGUAGCUAAUACCGCAUAACGUCGCAAGACCAAAGAGGGGGACCUUAGGGCCUCUUGCCAUCGGAUGUGCCCAGAUGGGAUUAGCUAGUAGGUGGGGUAACGGCUCACCUAGGCGACGAUCCCUAGCUGGUCUGAGAGGAUGACCAGCCACACUGGAACUGAGACACGGUCCAGACUCCUACGGGAGGCAGCAGUGGGGAAUAUUGCACAAUGGGCGCAAGCCUGAUGCAGCCAUGCCGCGUGUAUGAAGAAGGCCUUCGGGUUGUAAAGUACUUUCAGCUGGGAGGAAGGGAGUAAAGUUAAUACCUUUGCUCAUUGACGUUACCCGCAGAAGAAGCACCGGCUAACUCCGUG
This 490-nucleotide ribosomal RNA is filed under the name uncultured bacterium. RNAcentral's name for it is "partial 16S ribosomal RNA". It matches the Rfam family "Bacterial small subunit ribosomal RNA", at positions 30 to 507 of the family's 1533-position model. The record is from RNAcentral.